RNAcentral lists this ribosomal RNA (829 nucleotides) under uncultured bacterium. Its description in RNAcentral is "bacterial SSU rRNA". It matches the Rfam family "Bacterial small subunit ribosomal RNA", at positions 8 to 828 of the family's 1533-position model. The record is from RNAcentral.
AGAGUUUGAUCUUGGUUCAGAAUGAACGCUAGCUACAGGCUUAACACAUGCAAGUCGAGGGGCAGCAUGACGGAAGCUUGCUUCCGUUGAUGGCGACCGGCGCACGGGUGAGUAACGCGUAUCCAACCUGCCCUUGUCCAUCGGAUAACCCGUCGAAAGGCGGACUAACACGAUAUGCAGUCCACAGCAGGCAUCUAACGUGGACGAAAUGCGAAGGAGAAGGAUGGGGAUGCGUCUGAUUAGCUUGUUGGCGGGGUAACGGCCCACCAAGGCGACGAUCAGUAGGGGUUCUGAGAGGAAGGUCCCCCACAUUGGAACUGAGACACGGUCCAAACUCCUACGGGAGGCAGCAGUGAGGAAUAUUGGUCAAUGGGCGAGAGCCUGAACCAGCCAAGUAGCGUGCAGGAAGACGGCCCUAUGGGUUGUAAACUGCUUUUAUACGGGGAUAAAGUGGGCCACGUGUGGCUUAUUGCAGGUACCGUAUGAAUAAGGACCGGCUAAUUCCGUGCCAGCAGCCGCGGUAAUACGGAAGGUCCGGGCGUUAUCCGGAUUUAUUGGGUUUAAAGGGAGCGUAGGCCGUCUGUUAAGCGUGUUGUGAAAUGUCGGGGCUCAACCUGGGCAUUGCAGCGCGAACUGGCAGACUUGAGUGCGCAGGAAGUAGGCGGAAUUCGUCGUGUAGCGGUGAAAUGCUUAGAUAUGACGAAGAACUCCGAUUGCGAAGGCAGCCUGCUGUAGCGUAACUGACGCUGAAGCUCGAAAGCGUGGGUAUCGAACAGGAUUAGAUACCCUGGUAGUCCACGCGGUAAACGAUGGAUGCUCGCUGUUUGCG